RNAcentral lists this ribosomal RNA (246 nucleotides) under uncultured bacterium. Its description in RNAcentral is "partial small subunit ribosomal RNA". It matches the Rfam family "Bacterial small subunit ribosomal RNA", at positions 26 to 285 of the family's 1533-position model. The record is from RNAcentral.
AGAAUCAACGCUGGCGGCGUGCCUAACACAUGCAAGUCGCACGAGAAAGGGACUUCGGUCCUGAGUACAGUGGCGCACGGGUGAGUAACACGUGAAUAAUCUACCUCCGAGUGGGGAAUAAACUGAGAGAAAUCUUAGCUAAUACCGCAUAACACUUACGAGUCAAAGCAGCAAUGCGCUUGGAGAGGAGUUCGCGGCCGAUUAGUUAGUUGGCGGGGUAAUGGCCCACCAAGACUAUGAUCGGUA